Molecule: ribosomal RNA, 473 nt
Filed under: uncultured delta proteobacterium
Lineage: Bacteria; Deltaproteobacteria
Description: bacterial SSU rRNA
Rfam family: Bacterial small subunit ribosomal RNA
Source: RNAcentral
CGUGAGUGAUGAAGGCUUUCGAGUCGUAAAGCUCUGUUAGGUGGAAAGAAACAUUCCAGUGCCAAUACCACUGGAACUUGACGGUACCACCAGAGGAAGCACCGGCUAACUCCGUGCCAGCAGCCGCGGUAAUACGGAGGGUGCAAGCGUUGUUCGGAAUUACUGGGCGUAAAGGGCGUGUAGGCGGUUAAGCAAGUCAGGUGUGAAAUCCCUUGGCUCAACCAAGGAAGUGCGCUUGAAACUGUUUGACUAGAGUACAGGAGGGGAAAGUGGAAUUCCCAGUGUAGAGGUGAAAUUCAUAGAUAUUGGGAGGAACACCGGUAGCGAAGGCGGCUUUCUGGCCUGAUACUGACGCUGAGACGCGAAAGCGUGGGGAGCAAACAGGAUUAGAUACCCUGGUAGUCCACGCCGUAAACGAUGUGCACUAGGUGUAGGAAGUGUUGACCCUUUCUGUGCCGAAGCUAACGCAUUAA